GAUGAAGAACGUAGCGAAAUGCGAUAAGUAAUGUGAAUUGCAGAAUUCAGUGAAUCAUCGAAUCUUUGAACGCACCUUGCGCCUUUUGGUAUUCCGAAAGGCACACCUGUUUGAGCGUCAUGAAUACCUCAAUCUCCAUCUUUUCUUCGGAUUGAUGGGUGACUUGGAUGUUGAGCCCUGCUGGUAUGCUAUAUCAGCUGGCUUUAAACUUAUUAGCCGGCUCUGUACUGGAUCGGUUUGACUCGACGUGAUAAUAUUAUCGUUGAGGAUGCAUGUCUCAUGCAGCCGGAAAGUAUCAAAGCAGCUUCUAGCUUGUCUUUAGUGCACUUUUACAUUUUAGACCUCAGAUCAGGUGGGACUACCCGCUGAACUUAAGCAUAUCAAUAAGCGGAGGA
This 395-nucleotide unclassified non-coding RNA is filed under the name soil metagenome. Its description in RNAcentral is "partial contains 5.8S ribosomal RNA, internal transcribed spacer 2, and large subunit ribosomal RNA". The stretch from base 1 to 120 matches the Rfam family "5.8S ribosomal RNA", at positions 35 to 154 of the family's 154-position model. The record is from RNAcentral.